Long non-coding RNA from Daphnia magna, 1495 nucleotides. RefSeq lists it as uncharacterized. The record is from RefSeq and is a predicted model, not a curated record. The transcript has 4 exons. NCBI's taxonomy places the organism in Eukaryota, Metazoa, Arthropoda, Branchiopoda, Diplostraca, Daphniidae.
UAUCGUUAAUCCCGUUGCUUCUCCGCGUGUGAAACUUAUUUUUACGGAAACUAGGGGCCUCAAUCCGUUCGGGAAGUUCCCGAUAGGGUAAGGCUGUAGUUGCUCUUGAAUCGCGGCAACCGUAUUUGCUCUGAUUACAAUUACACUCAACGGCUUCCGCUGUUCGCGAAGUUUUUGAUAGCGUUGGAGAAAAAAGAAUCACAAAGUAUAAUAAAAAUUGGCUGCUAAUUUCGAUUAAUUUUUCAUUGCCGCCUUCCUGACUGUUGUUAUCGCCGCUCCCCAAGGCAAAAGGGAAACCGAAGAGCCGCCAAUCGUCGUCAAUAGCCCGUCUGAUGUCCGGAAUCUUGAUGGAAGCAGCCAAUGGAGUGUGUGUGUGUGUCUACACAGAAUCUGAUGACACUAGCCGAGAGGAGACUCAGGUUCAGAAGAAGACAAAAUCAAUCUCCACCGACUCGUAUGGCAAGCAAACGGUUAAUGAAGAGAUUGGCAACACCAACAAGGGAUCGUCCUACUGGAUCUCUCCUGAUGGCUAGAAGAUCUCUUUGAACUGGGUUGCUGACGAAGGUGGAUUCCGGCCAAAAGGUGAUCACUUAACCGGUUGCACCAGUUCAUGUUUUCACGCUGCCCGUUGCCCCCGCACUUCCCUUGUUCCCUAUCAGCGCACUGGACUCGGCUAUUAAGUAAUGGAAUCAAUUUUUUAAGUUUGAUUACGCUUGAAAGUUUACCCAAGAUUAUCGUAUCUCCUUGUUAUUCAUCACAUAUGUCUGUGUAAUUCAUUGCUGAGAAACUGUAUUACAUGGACUUGUUGUGUCAGUGUUAUAAUACUGUGUGUUGACACAUGUUUUACUGCCUGUCCUACGUGAUUGGAGCAGCAAUGUGCUUAACUGACCUGAGGAAAUGAAACAACAAUCCCAAACUCUUGCGCCAUCUAGCAGUCAAGAUUCAAACCUCUAGGAAACCUCAUGGAGUUAAAUUUUCCGUUGCUGGUUGUUGAUUAUUUUCAGCAAAAAAAAAAAUAAAUGUAAAUAGCUCUAAACAAGGUGCUGAAAAAAGGGAGUAAUUUUGCGUUCCUUACCGUAUUAAAGAUUAAAACAAUAAUAAGUGUGUUAGAUCAGUCGGUUAGAGCGUAGUUCUUAUAACGCGGAGUCAGAAGUUCGAUGCUCUUAAAAUAUAUUAUAUUAAUAUUUUCAUAAAUUCGGAAUAAAAUCCAUAGAAUUGAACAACAAAUUCGUCUGCUCUGCCUGCAAUGGCGGACUAAACGUUACAACAGCCUUUGCUUUGUUAAUUUUGAGCAUUUUAUCGUUGUUUUUGUGAAUUCCAGCCUCAAAGAUUGGAAAUGACAAAGAAAUGAGUUCUGUUCUUCGCCUCAUUUUUGCCUCAUCGUCAUCAAGCUGAUCGUCUUCGCUUCGCCAUCCUCGCUUCACCGUCCUCGCUUCACCGUCUUCACCUCGCCGUCUUCACCCCGCCACACCGUCUUCGCUUUGCCUUCUUCAAA